RNAcentral lists this transfer RNA (69 nucleotides) under Marmota marmota marmota (Alpine marmot). It matches the Rfam family "tRNA". Rfam says of the family: Transfer RNA (tRNA) molecules are approximately 80 nucleotides in length. Their secondary structure includes four short double-helical elements and three loops (D, anti-codon, and T loops). Lineage: Eukaryota; Metazoa; Chordata; Mammalia; Rodentia; Sciuridae. The record is from Rfam by way of RNAcentral. RNAcentral also lists the same sequence under 1 other name.
GGGGUUGUAGCUCAGUGGUAGAGCACUUGCCUAUCACGUAUGAGGCACGGGGUUCAAUCCUCAGCACCA